Molecule: long non-coding RNA, 242 nt
Organism: Octopus sinensis (East Asian common octopus)
Lineage: Eukaryota; Metazoa; Mollusca; Cephalopoda; Octopoda; Octopodidae
Exons: 3
Source: RefSeq, a predicted model, not a curated record
AUCUUGUCUGCAAUGUGUGGCCAGGCGUUGUCUUGCAAUGAAAUUGGAGUGGAUCUGUUGACUAAUCUAGGCUGUUCUUUUUGUAAGUUUCUGCAUCAUUUGGUCCAGUUGGCUGUAGUACACUUUGGCUGUGAUUGAUGAGCCAGGUUUAGUGAAAUCAUAAUGGAUCACACUUGCCCCUGACCACCAAACACACACCAUCAGCUUCUUUUGAUGUAUUUUGCCUUUGGACUCUGCUUUGG